AGAGGUGGUGCAUGGCCGUCGUCAGUUCGUACCGUAAGGCGUUCUGUUAAGUCAGAUAACGAACGAGACCCUCGUCCUUAAUUGCCAACCCAUUCUCCGGAGUGGGCGCACAUUAAGGGGACCGCUGGCGCUAAGUCAGAGGAAGGAGAGGUCAACGGUAGGUCAGUAUGCCCCGAAUCUCCCGGGCUACACGCGCGCUACAAAGGACAGGACAAUGGGAUGCAAUACCGAGAGGUAACGCCAACCCCGAAACCUGUUCGUAGUUCGGACUGAGGGCUGUAACUCGCCCUCACGAAGCUGGAUUCCGUAGUAAUCGCGGGUCAACAUCCCGCGGUGAAUAUGCCCCUGCUCUUU
This 354-nucleotide ribosomal RNA is filed under the name uncultured Thermoplasmatales archaeon. RNAcentral describes it as "bacterial SSU rRNA". It matches the Rfam family "Archaeal small subunit ribosomal RNA", at positions 983 to 1338 of the family's 1478-position model. Lineage: Archaea; Methanobacteriati; Thermoplasmatota; Thermoplasmata; Thermoplasmatales. The record is from RNAcentral.